This 255-nucleotide ribosomal RNA is filed under the name Staphylococcus capitis. RNAcentral's name for it is "partial 23S ribosomal RNA". It matches the Rfam family "Bacterial large subunit ribosomal RNA", at positions 1337 to 1585 of the family's 2925-position model. The record is from RNAcentral. Lineage: Bacteria; Bacillati; Bacillota; Bacilli; Caryophanales; Staphylococcaceae.
CCGAUUGACUAAGGUUUCCAGAGGAAGGCUCGUCCGCUCUGGGUUAGUCGGGUCCUAAGCUGAGGCCGACAGGCGUAGGCGAUGGAUAACAGGUUGAUAUUCCUGUACCACCUAGUAUCGUUUUAAUCGAUGGGGGGACGCAGUAGGAUAGGCGAAGCGUGCUGUUGGAGUGCACGUCCAAGCAGUAAGGCUGAGUGUUAGGCAAAUCCGGCACUCGUCAGGCUGAGCUGUGAUGGGGAGAGGAAAUUGUUUCCU